GAUGAACGCUAGCGGCAGGCUUAAUACAUGCAAGUCGAGGGGCAGCAGUCCCGCAGCAAUGCGGGAGCUGGCGACCGGCAAACGGGUGCGGAACACGUACAGAACCUUCCUUCGAGCGGGGAAUAGCCCAGAGAAAUUUGGAUUAAUACCUCAUAGCAUUACGAAGUGGCAUCACUUUGUAAUUAAAGAUUUAUCACUCGAAGAUGGCUGUGCGGCUGAUUAGGUAGUUGGCGGAGUAACGGCCCACCAAGCCUUCGAUCAGUAACUGGUGUGAGAGCACGACCAGUCACACGGGCACUGAGACACGGGCCCGACUCCUACGGGAGGCAGCAGUAAGGAAUAUUGGUCAAUGGACGAAAGUCUGAACCAGCCAUGCCGCGUGGAGGAUGAAGGUCCUCUGGAUUGUAAACUUCUUUUAUAUGGGACGAAAAAGGCUUUUCUAAGUCGUCUGACGGUACCAUAUGAAUAAGCACCGGCUAACUCCGUGCCAGC
This 492-nucleotide ribosomal RNA is filed under the name uncultured bacterium. RNAcentral's name for it is "bacterial SSU rRNA". It matches the Rfam family "Bacterial small subunit ribosomal RNA", at positions 28 to 512 of the family's 1533-position model. The record is from RNAcentral.